CGCGUGAGGGAGGGGUUCUUGGAUCGUAAACCUCUUUUCUCAGGGAAGAACAAAAUGACGGUACCUGAGGAAUCAGCAUCGGCUAACUCCGUGCCAGCAGCCGCGGUAAUACGGAGGAUGCAAGCGUUAUCCGGAAUAAUUGGGCGUAAAGCGUCCGUAGGUGGCUGUUCAAGUCUGCCGUUAAAGACCGGGGCUUAACCCUGGAAAGGCGGUGGAAACUGAACGGCUAGAGUGCAGUAGGGGUAGAGGGAAUUCCCAGUGUAGCGGUGAAAUGCGUAGAGAUUGGGAAGAACACCGGUGGCGAAAGCGCUCUGCUGGACUGCAACUGACACUGAGGGACGAAAGCUAGGGGAGCGAAUGGGAUUAGAUACCCCUAG
Molecule: ribosomal RNA, 377 nt
Filed under: Funiculus sociatus PJ S23
Lineage: Bacteria; Bacillati; Cyanobacteriota; Cyanophyceae; Coleofasciculales; Coleofasciculaceae
Description: bacterial SSU rRNA
Rfam family: Bacterial small subunit ribosomal RNA
Source: RNAcentral